RNAcentral lists this ribosomal RNA (253 nucleotides) under uncultured bacterium. Its description in RNAcentral is "partial 16S ribosomal RNA". It matches the Rfam family "Bacterial small subunit ribosomal RNA", at positions 524 to 776 of the family's 1533-position model. The record is from RNAcentral.
UACGUAGGGUCCGAGCGUUGUCCGGAAUUACUGGGCGUAAAGAGCUCGUAGGUGGUUUGUCGCGUUGUUCGUGAAAACUCACAGCUCAACUGUGGGCGUGCGGGCGAUACGGGCAGACUUGAGUACUGCAGGGGAGACUGGAAUUCCUGGUGUAGCGGUGGAAUGCGCAGAUAUCAGGAGGAACACUGGUGGCGAAGGCGGGUCUCUGGGCAGUAACUGACGCUGAGGAGCGAAAGCGUGGGGAGCGAACAGG